CGUAAGAAGGCGCUGCGGUAGAA
RNAcentral lists this small nuclear RNA (23 nucleotides) under Arabidopsis thaliana (thale cress). RNAcentral's name for it is "snRNA_07029". The record is from RNAcentral. Lineage: Eukaryota; Viridiplantae; Streptophyta; Magnoliopsida; Brassicales; Brassicaceae.